UUUUUCAUGUUUUUUCAAACACCUCUCUCUCCUCCCUGUAAUCUGUCGCUUCCAUGAAACCCUUAUCCUUAUCUAGAGGAGGCCAUGGCUAUGGCCGAAACCCCUGCAAAUGCCAAAAACCGGCGAACCCUAUUCCUCUUUCUCCCAUUUUCCCUCUUCCCCAUCUCUCGUUCUCUCUCUCUAUCUUGCAGCCCCAUCAAGGCCCUACAAAACCCAUAUUUGUCUGCAACUAAAUAAAUAACAAGAUUGGUAUUUUCCGCAUUUCUUUAUUUCUUGCUUGCAUUCAUCGUCUCUCUGGUCAGGAUCAAAAGUUCCCAACUCUUGAAACCCACAAAGAAGAUUUCCUACUCUCUCUCCCUCUUUUCAUCCCCCUCUCUCUCUCUCUCUAACUUCCCCCCACUUGCAUGGGCAGCAGCAGGGCUAUUUCCCUUUGUUUUCUCUAUCCCUCAUCCGUCACCUUCUCUUGCCCACUAUGCUCUCUCUCCCCAGCUCCAAGUAACCUGUCCAGGUCCAGGUUGAUCUGGCAUGUUUUGUAAACAGUGGUCGAGUCUGAGCAGUCAGGUAACUGGACCGAGUUCCUCAGGUGGCUCACUGUUCAUGCUUCAAUAUGUAGUUGUCCUUUUUCCUUUUUUUGGGGCCUUAUCAUGUUGAUUCAUAUGUUAAAUUUGUAUAUGGAUUGCAAUUUAGACAUUGAGAUUGAUCGUUUCUCCAUUCAUAUCCCCAAUCCAAAAUUUGGGAUCAGAAUGUAAAUGCGUGGCUUUUUCAUUAAAAAAUCCCUGUUUGGACCUCUCAUUCAACGAUCCAUGAAAGCUUUGAUAUCUUCUCUUGAUCCUCAACAAAACUACUCCAAAUUUGUUAAAAAAAUGGGCAUCAUUUAGUCAGCUGCAAGAUUUAUACAUUAGCUGCUCUAAGAAAUCGAGCCUCAAAAGUUUUAGCUUGGUUUUGA
Molecule: long non-coding RNA, 946 nt
Filed under: Amborella trichopoda
Lineage: Eukaryota; Viridiplantae; Streptophyta; Magnoliopsida; Amborellales; Amborellaceae
Description: long non-coding RNA (ATRI_LNC002970)
Source: RNAcentral